CUCAGUUCGGAUUGGAGUCUGCAACCCGACUCCAUGAAGCUGGAUUCGCUAGUAAUCGCGCAUCAGCCACGGCGCGGUGAAUACGUUCCCGGGCCUUGUACACACCGCCCGUCAAGCCAUGAAAGCCGGGGGUACCUGAAGUGCGUAACCGCAAGGAGCGCCCUAGGGUAAAACUGGUGAUUGGGGCUAAGUCGUAACAAGGUACC
This 206-nucleotide ribosomal RNA is filed under the name uncultured bacterium. RNAcentral describes it as "partial 16S ribosomal RNA". It matches the Rfam family "Bacterial small subunit ribosomal RNA", at positions 1287 to 1500 of the family's 1533-position model. The record is from RNAcentral.